AGGGGGAGGGGGUUAGAAGAGGUAGGGUGCGCUUGAAGAGGGGUUGAAUCGGCGCGGAGCGUGUUUCGGACAAUACAGAUUAUUCCGUGCACGAAGAUUACUGGAUGCACUGUGAGUGCCAGACAAGCAACACGUAUAGGAUAUAUUACGAAAAGGGGCCGCAUAAUUUAGGAUGGUUGUGUAGGUGAAAGUGUUUAGAAAAAGAAGAGGAUGGGAAGUAUCGAACACAUCGAUUCGUUUGAGCUCAGAGGCAGUUCGUGUCACUGAAUUUUCCGAGUGUUGCUAAACUCAAGGAAGCUGGAGGUUUUAAAGGAUUCGAGAGAGUUGAUUAACUAAUCUGAAGACAGCUAUCAUAGUGAGAAGGAGAAGCUGCCAUAACCAUGUGAUUUAUCGUCUUACGUGCCCAAACGAUCUCUCAGUCUACUUCUAUCAUCGUUUCACGUGCGAUCGCAGACACAUCCCUCAGUUCAACCCCUUUCUCGUUGUGGAAGGAAGCAGUUGAUUUAAGAUCAUCCUGAGAUUGCUCCUUCCGAAGAAAUAACGAUCGAGAAAGAGGGCUGACACGUUUCUGCUUAUCCGACAUUGCCAAAGGGAAGAAUGAUGCCUUAAGAGUUCGUGCAAGAAAAAAAAAGGAAGGAAAGGGUAGGAAUAAGAAGAAGCAUCAACGUUGGCAUCAGCAACG
Vespula pensylvanica (western yellowjacket) is the source of this 682-nucleotide long non-coding RNA. RefSeq lists it as uncharacterized. The transcript is spliced from 4 exons. The record is from RefSeq and is a predicted model, not a curated record. Lineage: Eukaryota; Metazoa; Arthropoda; Insecta; Hymenoptera; Vespidae.